This is a long non-coding RNA of Oreochromis niloticus (Nile tilapia), 1845 nucleotides long. RefSeq lists it as uncharacterized. Lineage: Eukaryota; Metazoa; Chordata; Actinopteri; Cichliformes; Cichlidae. The transcript has 7 exons. The record is from RefSeq and is a predicted model, not a curated record.
CAGGUGUCUCCACCGUGGACUCCACCUCCAACCCUGCUCUCCAGGACCCACAUAAAGAGAGACGGACGGAGAGAGCAGCGUCCUCUUCACAGAGACACCAACAGAAGAAUCACCAGAGAGCCUGAGCAGCAGCCUUCAUCCUCCUCAUCCUCCAUCAGAGCUGCAGCAGAAUCACAAACACAGCACAGGUAUCUGUCAGCUGAUUGGUUCUCUCCAACAUGCUCCGCCCUCUGCUCUGCUUGUGUGCUCUCGUAACACUGACAGGUAAACACACACACCCGGCAGCCAUUUUGAAAGUGUCCUCACAAUACUCGAGUACAACAACAUAAGAGGGACGAUGAAGAAAGCUGUAAGUACAAAUAAUCUGACAUCGUCAGCAAACUUUCAUCUUUUUCCCACAAUUUUAAAUUAUUAUUUAACAUUAAAGUAAAACAAAGAACCAAAUAAACAAAAACAAUAACUCAAAGAAAACAAACAACAAUCUGCUCCUCCAUCUUCAACCCUCAACAUCCUCCAAUCAGAGCUCUGCUCCAGAGAAAACACAUAUUCAGAUUUACACAGAAAACAACAACAAACCAAAUGGAUCACAAACAGCAUAUCAUUCAUGAAAUCAAUAAAUACAGUUAAAGUUGAAUAAUUGAUUAUCUCCUUAUUAAAUUUGUGAAUGAAAAAUAAAAAUAAGCAACCAAAAUGUCACUGGGAUGUCGAGGCCAGGCUUUGUUUACUGACAGCUAACACUACCACUACUACUACAACUCUGACAGUACUAAACACAUCCGAAAGGAUUUAUUCAAUGAACUUCAACUCAUACUGAUGUGCAGAAAUUAUAUUCUACAUAAUCAAUCAACUGGCACCACCCAAGCCCACGUGACCCAACUGUUCCUAAUUACUGCGAUCAACCAAAACAACAUUGAUAAUAUCAAAAUUACUGAUCAUAAAAAUUAUUUAAAAAAAAUAAAUUACUUUUCACAACAGUCAGAGUGAAAAGUUUGAUCUUUUCAAUUCAGCUUCUUAUCUUUGCAAUUGUAUUUCCUUCAGCAUCCAGAAGUCUUAUCAAGCUGUCGUUCCCUGCUAUUUUUGUUUUCAAGAACAGCUAACUGAUGAUGUCAUAGUAAAACUUUACACUGAUUGGUGAACAAACGCUGUUUAAUCCAUUCAUGAAGUCAGUGUUUCAGCCUGCAGCUCUCCCUGUUUGUCCGACCAGCUAACAGACUGUAGCUCACAGCUCUCAUGUGUCUCUGUGUCUUCAGGUGCUCAGCGGUUCAUCACUGAGUCUUCAGUGGUGAACAUCAGCUCAUGUCCCAUCACGUAUUAUGGACAGAAGUACGAGCAGCUCUAUGUGAACAUAACAUCUGGAAAUGUUACCGUCUGUUUCAACGGCUUUUUCAGUCCUGAAACUGGAGGCGACUGUGUUGUGGAGCGUUCAGUGGGCGCAAAAAGAUUUUACUUUGGGACAUUUCUACAACCUUCCUCUGAUGAUGAGAAUUUCAUUUAUGAAAAUUUACCCACCAUUAAGAACAGUUUGGAAUGCUAUUUUUGGAUAUCUUUCUCUUAUUUUGGUUUGGAGCUGUAUCACUUUGGGACACAAACAGCUGUGGAGUUGUUCACAUUUGUCCCUGAUCCUGCGGAGUUUGAGCUUCAGGUCGGUGGAACCACAGUCGAUACAGUGAAUUCUCUUUAUUCAUCUCAAUGUUUGUUAGACAUCAGUGGAUGCAGACACUCAGGUCAGAUGUAUCGACCUGGUACAGUGAUCAACUCUCCAGAAACCUGCUUCAGUCUCACCUGUAAUGAGACCGCAGUCCUCCACAACUCCAGCUUUGUUCCGCUGCAGCAUUGUCAAGGCAA